This 253-nucleotide ribosomal RNA is filed under the name uncultured bacterium. RNAcentral's name for it is "partial 16S ribosomal RNA". It matches the Rfam family "Bacterial small subunit ribosomal RNA", at positions 524 to 776 of the family's 1533-position model. The record is from RNAcentral.
UACGAAGGGGGCUAGCGUUGCUCGGAAUCACUGGGCGUAAAGCGCACGUAGGCGGCUCUUUAAGUCAGGGGUGAAAUCCUGGAGCUCAACUCCAGAACUGCCCUUGAUACUGAGGAGCUUGAGUCCGGGAGAGGUGAGUGGAACUGCGAGUGUAGAGGUGAAAUUCGUAGAUAUUCGCAAGAACACCAGUGGCGAAGGCGAGUCCCUGGACAAUUCCUGACGCUGAGACGCGAAAGCGUGGGGAGCGAACAGG